Pelobates cultripes (western spadefoot toad) is the source of this 816-nucleotide non-coding RNA. The record is from the annotation of a GenBank genome assembly. Lineage: Eukaryota; Metazoa; Chordata; Amphibia; Anura; Pelobatidae.
GGGGAGCAUGCCUCGAAUGCAGCAUGUAAACCGGCAUUUAAGCAAUGUAUUUUUCUCCUGUCCUGCUGACUUUCCCCUCCUGGGCUUGAGGAUACUCCGUUCGUUUACCUCCACACACAACCUACACUGGAAGUCUGUAAUGUUAUAGGAAAGGAGGUUGACACAGCCCUGAGACUGGGGUUUUGAUCGAGCGAGCCUUUAUGGUAGCACUUGUGGGCUUUCCCUAUUAAACAGACCUUUCAUGUUGAUUAUAUAGGAUGGGGUUCAUUUGUAUCCAUUAGCCUUUGCUUUGACUACAUCGCACCAGUUCUUAUCUAGACACAGAUCCUUAAUUCAGGAGUCACUAUGCUACACUGAUACUCUAAAGGAUUACCGCUGGUCUUAGACAUUUGAUAGCUCCUCUAUAUAUACUUAUUUACUUCUAGAUUCUCACAUAUUGAUUAUACCUUGAUUUGGCUAAUUAGAUUAAGAAGUCUUUUAUAUGCUGUCUACAUUUGAUAUUUAUCUUCUUUGUAUAUCCAAUAGACACUUAAACAAAUAGGUUGCUAUCUUGCAAUGUGAGUAGUUUAUCCAUCUGAAGCUAUUUGAGAGGUUAAGUCAGUGUUAUAGCCACCUACUUUACUUUGCGUAUCCUUUUUGAUAGCAUAAUUCCAGUCUAGACAUACAGAGCUAUGUGACAUCUAAAAACCUAAUAUCUACUACAUUCUACUCAUAAUUUCGUUAUUAAAUAAUGCUACAUUUGUAGUCUGUGGAGUAUGAGUACUUGUGAUGAGUACUUCUAGUCAUCCCAUUAUUUUAAGCUUUUCACGUCACAAU